AAAAUAUCAAUAAUAUCGUUUAAAUUUGAGAAAUUCUGAGAAUUCUUAUAAUUCCAAUAUUCAUGUGUAAAGUCCCAUUCAUAUUCAACAACAUCUUUAGAUACAGAGCUAUUUUUGGCAUUCAAAACAGAUGAUGAAAGCCUCUUUCCUUUAGCAAACCAUCUUGGCACAGCAGAAUUUCCAGUCUUUUCUCUUUUUCUUUGCUUUUCUUCUAAUAGUCCUUUAAUGAUUUGAGCCCCAUCCACGUCUCCAGAUUCGUAUAAUCUCUGAUCAGGCCUAAAUCUACUGUCAGUUAUUGGUAUGUUUGCACCUUUUUCUGGAUUGUAAUCAUCUGAUAUUUCAUUCAAUUCAAGAGCCAUAUAUGUUAAGAAAAAAUUAUGUGAAUUAUCUCCAUUAUUAGGAUGCGGGUUACAUCUCCAAACAACAUUUGAUUUGGAAUAUGGAUGAAAUGAAUCAUUUUGAGAUUUCGUUGAAGAAAUUUGGAUUUCUUGGUCUGACUGUCCUUCAAUGCAGAAUAACCUCUGAUUAUCCUCGUUAUAGACUGAGCCUGUUACAAUAUUUCGUCUUUUACCACGCUUUGAGUUUUCUAAGCUACUAUUAUAUUUAUUCAAUGAAUAUGAAUUAUUUGAAUCUGAGAAAAAUGAGGUCUUUCCUCUAUAACCAUGAUUUUUCGAUGUUACAUUAACAUCUCCUAACCAUUCCAACCAUGUAGAACCAAAAAUAAUAUUAUGAAUAAUGCAAUUAGGUCGUUCCCAAGAAUAUUCCUCCUCUCCAUCAGCGGUCCUGAUCUUUAAAUGAACAGUUCCUUGUGGAAGAAUGGACAGACUGUUUGGUCCAAACGACAUAGUUGACCAAACUGUCCCCCAAUAGACCCAACUUCCAUCAUCUGAUUCUGCAUGAUAUGCUGCAACAGGAGGAUGAUGCAUAACUUGCUCUGCAAUAAAUUUGAACCCUCUAUGAGUUAGUUCAAAUGUCUCUCCUAAUAGGGGAUUGAAAGGCUUUGAAAGUCUCAAAAAUGUUGAAGAAAUCGCUGAAGAUGCAAAUACCGUUAUAUAUGCAACUCUUUCAUCAACAGAUUUGGAAUUACUUGCUUUUUUCAGUAAAUCAUGGUAUUCUAAAUCCUCAGAAAGUCUUUGUAUAAAGGAUAAAGGCUCAUUUAAGCAUAUAGGCAUAGAUAUCCUUGAAAGAUCUUUUCCAAAAACUUGCCUCAUCAUUGAUAAAAGCGAGAAUUUGGCAGAUGUUUUUGGAACCGGAAGGUUCCGUCUCCUAGUAAUAUUACAUGUUUCUUCUUUUUCUAUAUCUUCGUUUUCAACACAAGUUUUUGUUGUAUUUAGCCUUUCAACAGAUAAUUCAUCUUCACUUUCUUUAAUACUAACAAAACUUUCCUCACUAUUUGUUUUCAUUACUUUAUUUUUUUCAAUGAGCGAAUUACUAUUGCUUGAUUCUAUUAUAGAA
RNAcentral lists this non-coding RNA (1455 nucleotides) under Cryptosporidium parvum. Lineage: Eukaryota; Apicomplexa; Conoidasida; Eucoccidiorida; Cryptosporidiidae. The record is from RNAcentral.